AUUGAACGCUGGCGGCAUGCCUUACACAUGCAAGUCGAACGGCAGCACGGGAGCAAUCCUGGUGGCGAGUGGCGAACGGGUGAGUAAUAUAUCGGAACGUGCCCAGUCGUGGGGAUAACGUAGCGAAAGCUACGCUAAUACCGCAUACGAUCUAUGGAUGAAAGCGGGGGAUCGCAAGACCUCGCGCGAUUGGAGCGGCCGAUAUCAGAUUAGGUAGUUGGUGAGGUAAAGGCUCACCAAGCCGACGAUCUGUAGCUGGUCUGAGAGGACGACCAGCCACACUGGGACUGAGACACGGCCCAGACUCCUACGGGAGGCAGCAGUGGGGAAUUUUUGGGACAAUGGGCGCAAGCCUGAUCCAGCAAUGCCGCGUGCAGGAUGAAGGCCUUCGGUUGUGACUGCUUUGUUACGGUACGAACGGUAGAG
This 426-nucleotide ribosomal RNA is filed under the name uncultured bacterium. Its description in RNAcentral is "bacterial SSU rRNA". It matches the Rfam family "Bacterial small subunit ribosomal RNA", at positions 30 to 457 of the family's 1533-position model. The record is from RNAcentral.